RNAcentral lists this long non-coding RNA (662 nucleotides) under Homo sapiens (human). RNAcentral's name for it is "MIR646 host gene". The record is from RNAcentral. Lineage: Eukaryota; Metazoa; Chordata; Mammalia; Primates; Hominidae.
CUUUUGCGUUUCAGAUGCUCCCAGGCUCUCCCGCAGUUUAAAGACUUAACUCAGCGGCUUUCAGGGCCUGUGGUUGAGGGACUCCGAAAGAACUGUUGCUGGUGGACCGGUUCAGGGUCUUGACUUCGCCACACAAAAGAACUUGAGAGCACGUCCAAAGUAAAGCUAAGACCUCUAGUACAGUGUUCAAUGGAACUGGUGAGAAAAGACGUCCUUGCUGUGUUCCUGAUAUGAAGAGGAAAGCAGUCCUUCUCCAUUAAAUGCUGACAACAUGAGCCUCCCGUGGUCGGAACGGGCUUGUGAAGGCGGUGCUGGGGUGCACCAGGGCAGCAGCUACAGGACAACUUCUCCAAGGACAUCCACAUCAGGAGGGGUUUUCUAACUAUUAAACCUGCAGAAGAAGGAGUCAGGAGCUGCUCAUCUUUGGAAGUGCCUAGCAGUGGCUGGAGGACCUGGGAUGCCCUGAGGGACAGUCAGCCAGGUAGGACACCUGCCAGGCAGCUGUGAGCCUGAGACUUUCCUUCCACGCAGAGCAGAUUCCAGAGCCCCCCAAGCAGGAGCUGCCGCAUGGCUGCAUGGAUCUUUCACCUUCUCAGACUGUCCCCCCAUGACUUGGGAAGGCAUAAUUCUUGUGGUUGAAUAAGAAUGAGGUGAACGACAGA